UACAGAGGUGGCAAGCGUUGUUCGGAAUUACUGGGCGUAAAGGGCGCGUAGGCGGCCUUCUAAGUCAGACGUGAAAUCCCCCGGCUUAACCUGGGAACUGCGUCUGAUACUGGAGGGCUUGAGUAUGGGAGAGGGAUGUAGAAUUCCAGGUGUAGCGGUGAAAUGCGUAGAUAUCUGGAGGAAUACCGGUGGCGAAGGCGGCAUCCUGGACCAUUACUGACGCUGAGGCGCGAAAGCUAGGGGAGCAAGCGGG
RNAcentral lists this ribosomal RNA (253 nucleotides) under uncultured bacterium. Its description in RNAcentral is "partial 16S ribosomal RNA". It matches the Rfam family "Bacterial small subunit ribosomal RNA", at positions 524 to 776 of the family's 1533-position model. The record is from RNAcentral.